AGCAGUCGCCACGGUAAUACAGAGGGUGCGAGCGUUAAUCGGACUUACUGGGCGUAAAGCGUGCGUAGGCGGCUUUUUAAGUCGGAUGUGAAAUCCCCGAGCUUAACUUGGGAAUUGCAUUCGAUACUGGGAAGCUAGAGUAUGGGAGAGGAUGGUAGAAUUCCAGGUGUAGCGGUGAAAUGCGUAGAGAUCUGGAGGAAUACCGAUGGCGAAGGCAGCCAUCUGGCCUAAUACUGACGCUGAGGUACGAAAGCAUGGGGAGCAAACAGGAUUAGAUACCCCUGUAGUCCCUGUCUCUUAUAA
RNAcentral lists this ribosomal RNA (303 nucleotides) under uncultured bacterium. RNAcentral's name for it is "partial 16S ribosomal RNA". It matches the Rfam family "Bacterial small subunit ribosomal RNA", at positions 507 to 809 of the family's 1533-position model. The record is from RNAcentral.